This 253-nucleotide ribosomal RNA is filed under the name uncultured bacterium. RNAcentral describes it as "partial 16S ribosomal RNA". It matches the Rfam family "Bacterial small subunit ribosomal RNA", at positions 524 to 776 of the family's 1533-position model. The record is from RNAcentral.
UACAGAGGUCCCAAGCGUUGUUCGGAUUCUCUGGGCGUAAAGGGUGCGUAGGCGGUCGGGUAAGUCUGGCGUGAAAUCUCCAAGCCUAACUUGGAAACUGCGUUGGAUACUAUCCGGCUCGAGGAAUGGAGGGGAGACUGGAAUACUUGGUGUAGCAGUGAAAUGCGUAGAUAUCAAGUGGAACACCAGUGGCGAAGGCGAGUCUCUGGACAUUUCCUGACGCUGAGGCACGAAAGCCAGGGGAGCAAACGGG